CGUAGGUGGCAAGCGUUGUCCGGAAUUAUUGGGCGUAAAGCGCGCGCAGGCGGUUCCUUAAGUCUGAUGUGAAAGCCCCCGGCUCAACCGGGGAAGGUCAUUGGAAACUGGGGAACUUGAGUGCAGAAGAGAAGAGCGGAAUUCCACGCGUAGCGGUGAAAUGCGUAGAGAUGUGGAGGAAUACCAGUGGCGAAGGCGGCUCUUUGGUCUGUAACUGACGCUGAGGCGCGAAAGCGUGGGGAGCAAACAGGAUUAGAUACCCUGGUAGUCCACGCCGUAAACGAUGAGUGCUAAGUGUUAGAGGGUUUCCGCCCUUUAGUGCUGCAGCUAACGCAUUAAGCACUCCGCCUGGGGAUACGGCCGCAAGGCUG
RNAcentral lists this ribosomal RNA (371 nucleotides) under uncultured organism. RNAcentral describes it as "bacterial SSU rRNA". It matches the Rfam family "Bacterial small subunit ribosomal RNA", at positions 526 to 896 of the family's 1533-position model. The record is from RNAcentral.